GGGAAGGUAGCUCAACGGUAGAGUGCUUGCCUCGAAUGCAUGAGGCCCUGGUUCGAUUCCUCAGUACCA
RNAcentral lists this transfer RNA (69 nucleotides) under Dipodomys ordii (Ord's kangaroo rat). It matches the Rfam family "tRNA". From Rfam's summary of the family: Transfer RNA (tRNA) molecules are approximately 80 nucleotides in length. Their secondary structure includes four short double-helical elements and three loops (D, anti-codon, and T loops). The record is from Rfam by way of RNAcentral. Lineage: Eukaryota; Metazoa; Chordata; Mammalia; Rodentia; Heteromyidae.